AUCGUAAAGCUCUGUUGUUGGUGAAGAGGGAUAGAGGUAGUAACUGGCCCCUAUUUGACGGUAAUCAACCAGAAAGUCACGGCUAACUACGUGCCAGCAGCCGCGGUAACACGUAGGUGGCAAGCGUUGUCCGGAUUUAUUGGGCGUAAAGCGAGCGCAGGCGGAAAGAUAAGUCUGAUGUGAAAGCCCCCGGCUUAACCGAGGAAUUGCAUCGGAAACUGUGUUUCUUGAGUGCAGAAGAGGAGAGUGGAACUCCAUGCGUAGCGGUGGAAUGCGUAGAUAUAUGGAAGAACACCAGUGGCGAAGGCGGCUCUCUGGUCUGUAACUGACGCUGAGGCUCGAAAGCAUGGGUAGCGAACAGGAUUAGAUACCCUGGUAGUCCAUGCCGUAAACGAUGAGUGGUAAGUGUUGGGAAGUUUCCGCCUCUCA
This 429-nucleotide ribosomal RNA is filed under the name uncultured bacterium. Its description in RNAcentral is "bacterial SSU rRNA". It matches the Rfam family "Bacterial small subunit ribosomal RNA", at positions 422 to 842 of the family's 1533-position model. The record is from RNAcentral.